CGCCAGAUUCCUGAAAUAUCUUGUAUUAGAAGAGUUUUCUCAAACAUGUAAUCCCUGGGCCAGUACCAUCAGCACCACCCAGAUCUACUAUUUAAACAACCCUCCAGGUGAUUCUGAUGUAUGUCAAAGUUUUAGAACAUAUUAGCUGAAGAAACACCGAGCUGGUAGUGCAGACCUGGAAUUUUGGCUCUGCCUCUUGUAUUAAAAGCCUAUGUGACUCA
Molecule: long non-coding RNA, 221 nt
Filed under: Sus scrofa (pig)
Lineage: Eukaryota; Metazoa; Chordata; Mammalia; Artiodactyla; Suidae
Description: lncRNA (ENSSSCG00035004147.1)
Source: RNAcentral